CUGCAGCUCGAGUGGUGGCCGCUAUUAUUGGGCCUAAAACGUCCGUAGCCGGUUUAAUAAAUGCCUGGGUAAAUCGUGUAGCUCAACUAUACGAAUUCCGGGUAGACUGUUAAGCUUGAGACCGGGAGAAGUUAGAGGUACUCCUGGGGUAGAGGUGAAAUUCUGUAAUCCUAGGGGGACCACCAGUGGCGAAGGCGUCUGACUAGAACGGGUCUGACGGUGAGGGACGAAGCCCUGGGGCGCAAACCGGAUUAGAUACCCGAGUAGUCC
RNAcentral lists this ribosomal RNA (270 nucleotides) under uncultured archaeon. RNAcentral describes it as "partial 16S ribosomal RNA". It matches the Rfam family "Archaeal small subunit ribosomal RNA", at positions 477 to 747 of the family's 1478-position model. The record is from RNAcentral.